AAUCUACCCGCAACGGCGGGAUAAUCCAUCGAAAGGUGAAGUAAUACCGGAUGGUAUACUGUUUCUACGGAGACAGUAUUAAAGGGGGCUUCGGCUUCCGGUUGAGGAGGAGUCUAUUUCCUAUUAGCUUGUUGGUGCGGUAACGGCGCACCAAGGCUGUGAUGGGUAGGGGGCCUUAGCGGGUGGCCCUCCACACUGGGACUGAGACACUGCCCAGGUUCCUACGGGAGGCUGCAAUCGAGAAUCCUCCGCAAUGGGCGAAAGCCUGACGGGGUGACGCCGCGUGACCGAUGAAGGCUCUUACGGGUCGUAAAGGUCUUACAGGGAGUAUGAAAUAUACUGGGGCUAAUAUCUCCAGUAUUUGACGUCAAUCUCAAAUGAAGUCACGGCUAAAUUUGUGCCAGCAGCCGCGGUAAGACAAAUGUGGCAAGCGUUGUUCGGAAUCACUGGGCAUAAAGGGCACGUAGGCGGCGUAGUAAGUUAACUGUGAAAUCCCCCGGCUCAACCGGGGAACUGCAGUUAAUACUGCUGUGCUAGAGUGCAGAAGAGGAGAGUGGAAUUCUAGGUGUAGCGGUGGAAUGCGAAGAUAUCUAGGAGAAGGCCGGUGGCGAAAGCGACUCUCUGGUCUGUUACUGACGCUGAGGUGCGAGAAGCGCAGGUAGCGAACGGGAUUAGAUACCCCGGUAGUCUGUGCCGUAAACGAUGGGCACUAGAUGGUGGAGGCGCCGAUAGCUUUCUCCGUCGCAGCUAAUACGUUAAGUGCCCCGCCUGGGGAGUAUGGCCGCAAGGUUAAAACUCAAAGGAAUUGACGGGGGCCCACACAAGCGGUGGAGGAUGUGGCUUAAUUCGAGGAUACCCGUAAAACCUUACCGAGGCUUGACAUGCAGGUGAUAGUGAAGUGAAAGCGGAACGACCCGAAUAGGGAGCCUGCACAGGUGCUGCAUGGCUGUCGACAGCUCGUGUCGUGAGAUGUUAGGUUAAGUCCUGUAACGAGCGAAACCCUUGUGCUUAAUUGCCAGCGCGUUAUGGCGGGGACCUUAAGCAGACUGCCCCGGCCAACGGGGAGCAAGGUGGGGAUGACGUCAAGUCAGCAUGGCCUUUAUGCCUCGGGCUGCACACGUCCUACAAUGGGCUGUACAAUGGG
RNAcentral lists this ribosomal RNA (1144 nucleotides) under uncultured organism. RNAcentral describes it as "bacterial SSU rRNA". It matches the Rfam family "Bacterial small subunit ribosomal RNA", at positions 123 to 1246 of the family's 1533-position model. The record is from RNAcentral.